CAGAAAAUAGUUUAUUAAAAAUAUUAAUUUUGGGGAUUAAAGAAAAGUAGGUUUAUUUUUUUCUGA
RNAcentral lists this transfer RNA (66 nucleotides) under Polypedilum sp. RNAcentral describes it as "tRNA-Pro". The record is from RNAcentral. Lineage: Eukaryota; Metazoa; Arthropoda; Insecta; Diptera; Chironomidae.